UCGAACGAGAACGGGUUAUAGCUUGCUAUAACUGUCAGCUAAGUGGCGCACGGGUGAGUAAUAUAUAGGUAAUGUGCCCUAGAGAGGGGGAUAACAGUUGGAAACGACUGCUAACACCCCAUAUGCCUUUAAGACAAAAGUCUGCAAGGGAAAUAUUUAUAGCUCUAGGAUCGGCCUGUACGGUAUCAGCUAGUUGGUGAGGUAAUGGCUCACCAAGGCAAUGACGCCUAACUGGUUUGAGAGGAUGAUCAGUCACACUGGAACUGAGACACGGUCCAGACUCCUACGGGAGGCAGCAGUGGGGAAUAUUGCACAAUGGGGGAAACCCUGAUGCAGCAACGCCGCGUGGAGGAUGACACAUUUCGGUGCGUAAACUCCUUUUAUAUAGGAAGAUAAUGACGGUACUAUAUGAAUAAGCGCCGGCUAACUCCGUGCCAGCAGCCGCGGUAAUACGGAGGGCGCAAGCGUUACUCGGAAUCACUGGGCGUAAAGAGCGUGUAGGCGGGUUAAUAAGUUUGAAGUGAAAUCCUAUGGCUCAACCAUAGAACUGCUUUGAAAACUGUUAACCUAGAAUAUGGGAGAGGUAGAUGGAAUUUCUGGUGUAGGGGUAAAAUCCGUAGAGAUCAGAAGGAAUACCGAUUGCGAAGGCGAUCUACUGGAACAUUAUUGACGCUGAGACGCGAAAGCGUGGGGAGCAAACAGGAUUAGAUACCCUGGUAGUCCACGCCCUAAACGAUGUACACUAGUUGUUGUGAGGCUAGACCUUGCAGUAAUGCAGUAAACACAUUAAGUGUACCGCCUGGGGAGUACGGUCGCAAG
RNAcentral lists this ribosomal RNA (819 nucleotides) under Arcobacter nitrofigilis. RNAcentral describes it as "bacterial SSU rRNA". It matches the Rfam family "Bacterial small subunit ribosomal RNA", at positions 62 to 892 of the family's 1533-position model. The record is from RNAcentral. Lineage: Bacteria; Pseudomonadati; Campylobacterota; Epsilonproteobacteria; Campylobacterales; Arcobacteraceae.